GCUUAACCUUGUUUUCAAGCACCUUGUGGUCAUUCCAACUACUGGAGGCCACAUGGGCAUUCAAGCAGAUAAAUCCCAUUUUUAGUAUUGCAGUUAAUAAAUUCUUUAAUACUAAAAGUCAUUUUAGUCCUGUUGGAGGUGAAUUGUGUUGUUUUGGACGGAACGGUACAAUCUGUGGUUUUGCAUACAAUACAUGUUUUACAUUUAAAAAACCUUUCACUUGUGGAAAAAAG
Pelobates cultripes (western spadefoot toad) is the source of this 233-nucleotide non-coding RNA. Lineage: Eukaryota; Metazoa; Chordata; Amphibia; Anura; Pelobatidae. The record is from the annotation of a GenBank genome assembly.